AUGCUAUUGGUCUUCGAAUGCCGGAGUGGGAGCUGUUGAACGGUUCUAAGUAGGAGAGUGAAAGACCAGCAUGGAGGAGAAAUCCGGCCAGUUAUUGAACAAACCUUUCCUUUUUCUAAAGUUCCAGAAGCCUUCCUGAAGGUGGAAAGAGGACACGCACGAGGAAAGACUGUAAUUAAUGUUGUUUAAAUAAAAAUGCAGUUUAGUG
RNAcentral lists this long non-coding RNA (208 nucleotides) under Homo sapiens (human). Its description in RNAcentral is "non-protein coding lnc-ATG5-4:2". The record is from RNAcentral. Lineage: Eukaryota; Metazoa; Chordata; Mammalia; Primates; Hominidae.